GUUGGGGUAGGAAAAUAUGAGUUAUUGUCCGGUGGAGCGGAAUGUGGAAACCGGAAGGAAGCUGCGGCUGCUUGUAUUUUCCGCAUUCACCACC
This is a regulatory RNA element of 94 nucleotides. It matches the Rfam family "THF (Tetrahydrofolate) riboswitch aptamer". Rfam says of the family: THF riboswitch presents a pseudoknot that joins P1-P2 and the loop of P3 and two THF binding. The record is from Rfam.